UGUCGGCUUGUCAACGGCACGCGACGCGCCGCAUCCAUCUGCUAUUUAUCUGCUGUCUGGCGAGGGCAAACAACAACAACAACAAACAAACAAACGGACGAUAUCAACCUCCAACUCGGGGACUCGAAAGUGGGGAGUCCGUCUCGGUCGAAACGCGGCGAAGAGUGAGGCUGACUUCGCGUCGGCGCCCUUUUCUCAACUCUUACAAAGUGAAUGGCCUAAGCAGAGAGAGACACGGAGAUGAGCUGGGCCGAGGAGGACUGGACCGCGGGCCUGUCGGGACGGGUUCUGCAAAAAGUGAAGGAGCUGCAGGCCCACCAGGAGCGUCUGUCCAGAGAGAACAAGCAGAAGCAGCUGAAGCUGGACAACAUCCACGUUAGCCACAACAAGCAAAGUGUGAAGUACGAGGAUGUGCGUGGGGAGCUCCAGGCGGUGCGCAGGGAGCUCCAGAGUGUCCAGGAGGCUGCCCAGCUGGCCGAAACUGGCGGUCAGCGCCUCACCCAAGAGCUUCAGACCAAACAGGCCCAAGUGUGCUCCUUGGAGGGCCAGCUCGAUGCCGCCCGGACACUCAACAACAAGCUCACCCAGGAAGUUAAACGACUGGAGGCAGAACUAGAGAAGUUGCAGAACAGCAACAGGUCUGCAGACAACACUCCUUUCUCCACACCCUGCUGGAGUACAAGCUCACCGAAGGAACACCAUGGGAGCCGAAAGGAUGAGAGGACGGGGCAGAGAGAGGAAUCGCAGUGCUCACUACACACCCGACGGCUCCAGUUCUCAGACGCCUCGAGUCCCUCGUUGCCGCGGCAACUCAAGACCCCGCCCCGCAGCCACCCGUCCGACCAAUCGGACUCUUUCGCCGCUCCCUCGGCUGUUUUUCCGUGGGAGCGGGACGACCCCAGGCCAGCGGCCAGGAGGCCAUCUCCGUCUUCUCCCCUGACGCCCGGUGCUGACCACCAGUCAAAGCAGGAGACGCCUGAGAGGGAGAAAGAACUCUGCACACAAGCAGACACGUCGUCGUUACAAAUGAGGCAUCAUGCGGCGUCUCUGGAGGAACAGUUGAGUGUGAAGACGGAGACGCUGAAGUCACUUCAGUUCGAAAUGGCGCAGGGCAAGAAGAAGAUGGCCGCCACAGAGCUCAGCCUGCAGAGGGCGCACAACGAACUUAGCGUGGCGCACACGCGAAUCACUCAGGAGAGCGAACGGGCAUUGGGAGCUGAGCAGAGGCUCAAGCAGCUUCAAGAGGAGCUCAAGUGUCAGCGGCAGAAUGCCGAGAGCAGUCGACUGCAUCAUCAACAGCGCACGAAGGAGCUGGACCAGCAACAUCAGAGGGACCUGCUGGAGCUUCAGAAGGAGAAGCAGUGCGUGGAAAAGCAGCAUCAACAGGAAGUAAAUCAACUCAACCGGGAGCUGCAGCAGGCCAGGACACUUCACAAUGCCCUGCAGGCCCAGGCUGACAAGCUGUCUCAGCAGAAGCAAGUGCUGGACAAAGAGUUGGAGUCUUUCAAGGAAAAAGUCAAAUUCAUAGAAGGACAGCUGCAGGAGAGUCAGAAGAAAGAGACACAAAUACAAGCAAAACUGAAGGAGGUGACGCUCGGUGCGGAGGGCGUGGCAGUUAGUCUGGAGCAGAGCAAGAAGAGAGAGCAAGCAGUGGAAGAUGAGAUGAGCAGACUGGCAGGGGAACGAGCGGAUGCCAUUCGUCUUCUCAAAGAACUGCAAGAACAAAAAGCUGCUCCUCUACCAGAAUGCACACAGCUUGUCACGGUUUCUCCCGUCGGACAGAGUUUCUCAUCUCAAGCCUCCUCUCAUCACACUCUCUCGUCCACGUGCACCAAGCGGCCUUCUGCCCCCCGAGCUGAGCCGAGGGGGCUGAAGCAAGAGGAAGAGGUCCAGGAAAAAGCCGCUAAUUCCAUAUCUUACCCGCCUGACAGAGAGCCUGGAGAGGGCAUUGAUUCUGAGCACAUCACUGCAGACACUGAGUGUUCCCACCGACGAGGAAACUGUGAAGAGAAGGAGUCCUGCGUAUGCAACAAUGCCAACAAUGAGGGCGAGAAUGGCACAAUAAUUCUCGAUACUCUGAACUCUGAGCAGACGAUACACACCGAGGACCUCCAGAGGGAGAACGGCGCAUUGCGUUCGGAGCUGCGCGACGUGCGCGAGGAACUCCAGAAACGACUGGACGACCUGGAGGUCCAGCGACGUGCCGAAGCGGAGGCCAGGACGCGUCUGAAACAGCUGAGCCGUAAACACGCCUGCCAAGGGGUGGGGAAAGAGGAGCAGGACAAGCAAUGGAAGGCUGAGUUGGAGAGGGAGAAGACCGAGAACGACAGGUUGAGGAAGACUUUGGAGGAAAGAGAGGAGCAGGACGGGACGAAGCAGACACAAGAGGACCGGGAGGCAGAAAUGAUGCAACUCAACUUCCAGCUGAAGAAGCAACUUGGGGAAGUCAAACUCCAGCUGGCUUUAGAACGAGACGGCAGAGAGAGAGAGAAAGAGGAGCUGACACAAAUCACCAACGCGGAGAGAGAAGGAAAGCAAGAACUGAGCAUCAAAUUGGAAGAACUUACAGCUCAGCUUGCCGAGCUGAAGAACGGUGGAGCUCAAGAGUCUCAAUGCGAGGAGAAACUGCUAACCAACGGCCCGCUGACAUUCUUGCCGCUCUACGCUGACCAGCUCAAGUCCAACGUCAUGAUCUCAGAUGAAGAAGUGCCGUCACUGGAGCAGUACGCCGUCUUCUGCCAAUCUACCAACCAGCGCAACGCGCUAGUUUCCCAGCAAACAACAAUGGGGCCACAACUGUCACAUGAGGGACAAACGGUGCCAGUGGGCUCUGAUUUGAGAGACACCUGUUCAGAACAUCUCCAGAAGGACAAGUCUGCGUCCUCCAACUUCACCAAGGAGAUUGAACGACUGAGGAGACAAAAUUCACAGGAGACGGAACGUGCUAACCAGCUCCAAGUUAAACUGACUGCCCUUCAAAACCAGUUGACCAGUCAGACCAAACAGCUGACCGCGGGCUUUGAGAAGCAGAGCCAGUACAUCUCGGGACUUCUCGCUGAAGUGCAGGAGAAGGAGGGCGCCCUCCUCAGCCAGGGAGAGGAACUGCGUCGCUGCACACGAGAGCUGGACACACUCAAGUCCGAGAGAACGAGAGAGGAGGGAACGGGAAGAAAAAAGGGAAACAUUUGCAAGGUGGAGCAUGAAGGCCAAAUGGAGGAUGUUCUUGACUCACUGGGUUCCUUAAAUCUUAAAUCUUUCACUUCAAUUGCACUUAGCUCACAAAAUGACUCGGUUCAACAAACACACGAUCCAACUGAUGUCGGUGCGACUGAUGCUGAAAAAACAAUUCCCAAUCAGGUGGACAAUUCAGCGGUAUCGACUCAUCCACAUGGCUUGGGAGGCUCUGAUGAGGCUCAAAGCAUCAAUGGCUGUGCUUUGGCAAACACCGAGGCUGUGUGCGGGCCAGAUAAGGGACAAGUACUGGUGGCUACAUCCCGACUCGCUCCCCAGCACAAGGAUCAAGUUCUCAAACAAAGUAUGACUUGCAUCCUCUCUGAAGCAAGCAAACUGGUACCAAAGCAAGAGUUGGAACGUGACGCCCUGCCGACCGCACCCAGUGUGUCACUUGACAUCACCUCAGAGACGAGUGGAAGUGCUGAUGAGAUGAUCGACUAUCUGCAGACACGGGUGGUGGCACUGCAGAGGGAGCUACAGGAGCACUCGAAGGUGGCCCAGCAGCAGGCUGAAGAGUUGGCCAUCUGGAGAUUGGCUUCUCAACCCUCCUCCAUGUUGGAUCAGGGCCUUCCCAGCCAAGGGGCGCAAUCUGAAACGCAAACGCAGCACGGCGAUAUGGGCCAGAACCCAGCGCUGGUCGUCAGAAAGGAUGAGGUGUUGCUCUCUUGCGUCUCCAACAGGCUGCAAGGUCGCAUGCUCUCCGCCAGCAUGCAGCAGCCGAACCUGCCUGAGAGGAGCAUCCAACAGCCCCCGGUUGACGUAAACGAGCCAUCAGAAAAGGAAACGCAGCCUUCAGGAACAUGUUCAAGCCCAGAUAAGGAGUCUGAACAUCAAAUGGGCCAGGAACAUGUCAGCAAAUCUUCCGCACAAAAUUCUGAUGGCGACUCGAGCGGCUGGAGAGCGAUCAAAGACUUGAGCGCAAGCACCAACAUGGCCAGAAGUGUCAGCACUCAAACACGGGAGCAGUUGUGCCUCGGUGGCACUGAGGCGGCCCCUGAGCGCCACUGUGUGCACACGCAGACUGACGCUGAGACCGAGGAGAACGAGUUAGACGACGCUUCCCCUCACAUAACUAAAACUCCGCCAUCUGCGAGACCAGCGACGGGAGACAAAAUGCUCUUUUCCUCUUCCUUCCCCAUCCCGGCUGACCCGGUGCGUCUGGCAGAACGGAUACGACGAAACAGGACGCAGCUGUCUGCCGCUUUUGACGACACUGAAUAUGAACCUUACGGUCUCCCGGAAGUUGUCAUGAAAGGUUUUGCCGACAUCCCCACUGGACCCUCGUGCCCCUACAUUGUGAGGCGGGGCUUGUUAGGGACCGUCGUCGUCCCCGUCACUCAGAAGGAGGCCAACCCGGAGGACGAGACGGAUUGAUAGGUGACCGCAGGAUCACAAGUAUGGGGCAACACCUUCCAAGGAGAAAACACAUGCACUUUGACAACACACACAGUUCCCUAGUGCUGAGUGCUGCGGGGCCGGAGAAUGACACACGUGUUGCGUUGGACCAAGCUGAGUUGCAGUUUCACCAAAGUCAAGGACUCCAGCGAAGCCUGAGAGAGCUCAUCAGCUGACCUAACAUGGGAUCAACUCCUGACUUCGGAGCCCCAAGCAGUGACCCAAAAAUCGUUGGAGGCUACUACAUGGAGGCAGUCCACAGAUUAGGUGGUAGUCCAAGGAUUGUGAGAGGCGACCGGGGCACAGAGAAUGUUAAAGUCAGAGACCUUCAGCGAUAUCUCCGUCGCAACAUUCACGAAUCAGCGCAUCGAGAGUUGGUGGGGCUUCCUCAGAAGGGAAUCGAUUGAAUUCUACAUCUCUCUCUUUACUGACCUGAAGGACCGUGGUUUGUUCGAGGGGACGUAUUUGAACAGAAAUCUCAUUCAGUUCUGCUUCCUGGGCAUAAUUCAGCAAGAAUUAGAUGAGACCAUCCGUGCGUGGGCUGCACACAUCAUCAGACCGUCGAAGAAUGCCAGGGUAACCAGUGGCCGUCCCCAAAUCAUGUACACGUUCCCAGAACUCUACUCAACUUCUGACUGCAUGUCCCCAGUUGACAGUGCUGAUGUAAAGUAGUGUUGGAGUGACUGCAGGUUGCGCCCAGCAGUGCCAUGUGACUCAGACAUCUACAACAUCUGCAAUGUUAUGAUGGUGGAGUCACAGAUGCAUCUUUCAACUGAUGCUUAUCAAGCAUUGGAUCUGUACCUCCACUUGAGGCACGAGAUAAUAACUGCCCUCUAAUAUGAGAGAGAACUACAUUUGGAGUCCUUAAAUGAACAUUUGUUUAGACCGUUAUUCACAGUCCACCAUGGUGUACUGCAGGCGUGUCAAUUAUUUUUUUGUUGCGGGCCACACUGUAGUUGUGGUUUCUCUCAGAACGCCAUUAUGGUUGUGGAUCCCCAUUAAUGUAAAAUUGCUUAAUAUUAGUAGUUUUGAGGCGGCACUGUGGACGACUGGUUAGAGCGUCAGCCUCACAGUUCUGAGGACCCGGGUUCAAUCCCCGGCCCCGCCUGUGUAGAGUUUGCAUGUUCUCCCCGUGCCUGCGUGGGUUUUCUCCGGUUUCCUCCCACAUCCCAAAAACAUGCAUUAAUUGGAGACUCUAAAUUGCCCGUAGGCAUGACUGUGAGUGCGAAUGGUUGUCUGUUUGUAUGUGCCCUGCGAUUGGCUGGCAACCAGUUCAGGGUGUACCCCGCCUCCUGCCCGAUGACAGCUGGGAUAGGCUCCAGCACGCCCGCGACCCUAGUGAGGAGAAGCGGCUCAGAAAAUGGAUGGAUGGAUAGUAGUUUUGAAAUCAGAAAAACAUUUUCAAAUAUUCAAUUUAUUUUGAAAGGGGCAUUGGUAACAAAAAAAUGCAUGCGAUAUUUCAAAGUUAUAAAGGCAAUUUUGGUAUUUUAGUACGAAACAUGUCGACGUUUGUUUUCGUGGGGCACAAAAAAAUGAUGUGGAAGGCCUGAUCUGGUCCCCAGGCCUUGAGUUUGACACAUGAUGUGUAACGCAAAUGUAAUAAAUUUUUCUGAUUAAAUUUGUAAAAGCUUGGUUUGGAACUUUGAGCUGAU
RNA transcript from Phycodurus eques (leafy seadragon), 6281 nucleotides. It is a transcript of the gene named centromere protein F, with no coding region annotated. NCBI's taxonomy places the organism in Eukaryota, Metazoa, Chordata, Actinopteri, Syngnathiformes, Syngnathidae. The transcript has 21 exons. The record is from RefSeq and is a predicted model, not a curated record.